Molecule: transfer RNA, 100 nt
Filed under: Nonomuraea soli
Lineage: Bacteria; Bacillati; Actinomycetota; Actinomycetes; Streptosporangiales; Streptosporangiaceae
Description: tRNA-Val
Source: RNAcentral
GGACGUUUGGAGACGGGGUCGAAAGCGUUGUAGAUUUUCGAACUAGACUUCGAUGUGCCUUACAAGCGGAGGGUCACUGGUUCGAACCCAGUACCGUCCA